RNAcentral lists this long non-coding RNA (199 nucleotides) under Elaeis guineensis (African oil palm). RNAcentral's name for it is "long non-coding RNA (EGUI_LNC082556)". The record is from RNAcentral. Lineage: Eukaryota; Viridiplantae; Streptophyta; Magnoliopsida; Arecales; Arecaceae.
GGCUUGUCUGGUUUCGUAGGGCCACCGCCGUCGGGCCGCCACCACCAUCGUCGGUUGCCGUCACCGUCACUGCAUAGCUGUCGGAUUCACGGAAGAGUUGAAGGUGAGAAUAAUUUUUUUAAUUUAUAUAUUUUUUAAUUUUUAUUCUUUUUUUCUCAAUUAAUUUUAUCCAUUAGAAGUAAUUAUUUAUUAUUUUAGU